This 5300-nucleotide long non-coding RNA is filed under the name Pelobates cultripes (western spadefoot toad). Lineage: Eukaryota; Metazoa; Chordata; Amphibia; Anura; Pelobatidae. The record is from RNAcentral.
GUAGAAAUACAUUUUUAGCCACAUACAGUAGGUGUGGCAAAAAUGGAUAAGUAAAUUGUUCACAUACUUAUGGUUAGUUUUAAAAAUUGCUAGAAAUUCAACCAGGCUGUAAAAUGUUUGUAUAUAAAAAUAUUGCACACACACAGUUAUACAAGAUAUGUAUACAAUAUAUGGACAAGGAAUCUUUACUGUGUACUGCGUAUGUUUAGAGCCUUCAUUCGGUCUAUGGCUGCUGGAAUGCAGCCUAUAAGUUUGACUUACAAAUGUUGCUGUGGAUUACAGGACGAGAGAGUGGGUAAUGUCAGUCUCUCUGUAAAUUCAAAAAACAAGAGCAGGGAAAUGUCUUUGCAGGGUAAAAAUGGUGUUUAACAGAGAAAGCAAGUGGGGCCUUCUUUUUCAAAAUUUAUUUUUCUACAAUUAAAUGUUUUCAAAAUAAAAGUACCCACCUAAGUAUAAACUCAAACCUUAACUUAUAAUGUACUAGUCCAUAUUAACCCUCAUCUAGCCCAACCAUGUCAAGUACUCAUUAAUAUGCAUAAACAUGCUAGGUUAAAUUCAUUCUCUCUAUGGCUGCUGGAAUGCAGCCUAUAAGUUUGACUUACAACUGUUGCUGUGGAUUACAGGACGAGAGAGUGGGUAAUGUCAGUCUCUCUGUAAAUUCAAAAAACAAGAGCAGGGAAAUGUCUUUGCAGGGUAAAAAUGGUGUUUAACAGAGAAAGCAAGUGCGGCCUUCUUUUUCAAAAUUAUUUUUCUACAAUUAAAUGUUUUCAAAUUAAAAGUACCCACCUAAGUAUAAACUCAAACCUUAAUUUAUAAUGUACUAGUCCAUAUUAACCCUCAUCUAGCCCAACCGUGUCAAGUACUCAUUAAUAUGCAUAAACAUGCUAGGUUAAAUUAAUGUAACCCCUCAUUAAUAUUUUGGCCAAACUCUUAUUACUAUUGUUGUGACCAUUAUGCUCUCCAUUAACAAAUGAGGUGUACCAUUGCUACCUAGAGUAGAAAAGAGUCACAUAGUGAUUUUUAUUAAUAUUUAACUAUAUUUAAGAAGCAUUGCAAGACCAAGUUAUGUAAUUACUGCUCUUUGAAGGAAGUUGAUAUUAAAAUCUCUGUCAAAAUCAUAAAAAUAGAGCUAUUUAAUAUGUCAAGCAAUGGGGAGUCUAUUAAGUAACCAGCAUAAACACAUCAAUAAGGGCAGUAUUAGUUUAUGCUUACACAUCAAUCCUAUACCUCAUAUUUACUACUCAUUAUUACAGAACUCUUCAGAGAAAUCAAAGAAACACAAAAAAGGUUUUUCCGAAUGGAUGAGUUAUAAAAGGCCAUGUGUAGGUCUCUUGCUUUGAGGGGCCUCAAUCGAUUUGGAAGCCACAAUCAUGUGAUUCUUAUGCAGACAGCAUGUUUAACAAGCAGCAUGCUUAGGUGUCUGGAUGAGAGCUGGUCAGUUGUGGCUCGCAAAACCACCGGGUCUCCAAAGUGCAUAUCAGUUGCAGCAUGUGCAGGGCCGGCUCGUCCAUAAAGCGGUUCAGGCAGCUGCCUUAGGACGCCAGAGCAGGAGGGCAAAAAAAAAUCUGAAUCCCCUGCCUCUGGCUGAGGACUUGGAAUUUUCAACUUACCUGUCUCCCUGCAGCCAGCACAGAGCAGCCAGGGAAGUCAGCCGACCCUUCCUGAUGAUGUCAGGAGGGGAAGUGACUUCCACUGCUCUUCUCCCAGGACCGCUGGAGAGUCUGGGAGAAGAGCAGACAUCAUCAGGAGAGGUCGGCUGACUUCCCAGGCUGCUGUAUGCUGCCUUCAGUUCCUAUUCCACUCCUCCCUGGCCCAAGGCAAGCAUCAGGGAGGGGUGGAAAUACACUUUUGUUUUUUCUUAGUUUUUUUAAAUUAAUCUACUUUUUUAAGCCCCCGUCCCUCACCACCACAGCCCCCAUACCCUCAUUAAAGCUCCAUAACAUCCCCACUACAACCCGUCUUUCCAAUUGCAAACCAUAUCACCCACACCACAGCCCCUUUCCCAAAUUUUAGCCAUCAACCUACUUCAGCCCUUAUCCCCCCACUACAUUUCCUAACCCCCCAAUUACAGCCCAAACCCUCCACUUCAGCCCCUGUCCCCUCACAGCAUCCCCUAACUUUUCAAUUACAGCCACUACAACCCACUACCAGUACCAUUUCCAAGAUUGGGCUCUGGAUCCGCCCCUGCUCUGUAUGCCUGUAUCUGUAUGACUAUAAGCCUGCGUAUGUAUGUCUUUGUAUGCCUGUGUCUGUAUGACAGUGUCUGAAUGUGUCUGUGUGUGUGUGUGUGUUUGUAUGACAUUGUACCUGUAUGUGUAGAUUGUGUGGCUGUGUGCCUGUAUUUGUUUGAUUGAGUGCCUGUAUGGUUGUGUGUUGCUAUUUAUCUAUGUCUAUAUCGCAUGGAAAAAGACACAAAAUGUGCUGAGGGGAGAGAGCCCCAGAAAGGGGCUGAGGGGGAAGAAAGAGACAUGCAAAAAGAAUGGGGGGGGGGAGACACCCAAAGGGGCUUGGGAAAAAGAUACACAAUGGUGGUUAUAAGAGACAAAAGGGUGUAAGACAUAGUAAAGGGGGUAUAAAAUACACUAAAAAGGGUAAGAAAAUGAAAAGGGGGGUUACAAGACACACAAAUGAAGACGCAUUUUUUUUUAUUUUUUUUUUUUAAAGGGGGGGUGACGGGGGGUCAGCAAAAUGCAUCUUUGCCUAGGUAGCCAAAAAUCCUUGCACCAGCCCUGAGCAUGUGUCAGGAUGUGACAUAAUAUCUUGGCAUCCUCAGUCUGUAUUAGCACUGAAGGGAAGCAGGAUGAAGCUCUCCUGUUCAUUAAACAAUACACCAUAGGGGCUAGAGAGAGCAUCCAAAAGCCUCUCCCCUUCCUCCCUCUGUAGGCAGUAGUUAAGCAGCAGAAGAGUAGUAGAUUGUGUUAGAGUGCAAGUUUUAGUAUAUUGUAUGUGUGUUCGCAUAUCAGUGUGUGGGUGUCAAUGUGUCUAUGAAUGUGUGUUAUUGUAUGUCUGUGUGUAUGAGCAUGUUGCUAAUUAGGUUGGGGUAUGUGGCGAGUUAUGUAUGAAUUAAAGAGGCUAGUAUGUAUGUGUGUAUGUGUCUAAAUUAAUUGAUGUGGUUGUACAAACAAGAGCAGAGGUAGAUGGGUGCUUUGCAAAGUUUUCUUUCCUAGAGCCCCAAAAUUGUGGUGGUGGACCUACCCAUGGUUACUCAAAUAGUUUGUGAAAAGCUGUGCAUUUAAAGACUAAUGAUUAAUUCAAAACAUGUUGAGAGUUAUGUCCAGGUAUCAAUUUCACUCAAAGGGGCAAGGUUAGUUUUUAAAUGUAUAAAUAAUUCACAUCAAAGCUGUUUGCAAGCUUGACUAUGCUCCUCCAUUGCAUUUUAGGGAUUAUUUUCCACUGUAGACUAAAGGAUCUUUUCCAUAAAAUAGUUCUAGCUAAUUUAAUUAUAUAUCUUCAAAAUGCUUGCAUGGUGUUUUCUGGGUUAGUUCUCAACACAAAAUGCACUGUAUUACCAAUAAAAUUACUGUGGAUUUCAUUAGAAAUUACAAUAGCAAUUAAUAUGUUGGUUUUUGGUUUAUCUAUUCCAUAAUCAGGAGAUGAGGCUGAUUUGGAUAUGGUUAAUGGGUUGGAAAUGUAAAUACACAAUUACUGAAAGUUUUAUUUUUUGGAGGGGCGAGUGACAAUAAGGGAAACAAAAUUCUGAAAAUGAUUAAAGAAUGUAUACCAUAUUAUGCUCUUAUCACUCUGCAAGUGGUUUAUUUUGAAGUUGUUAGCAUCUUAUCUCAGUGAGAGCCUUUCAAUUUUGCAUAAAUAUCCGGGUAAAAAAUAUAAGUGCGAUAGACUUCCUACAAUCACUUCUUCAUUUAACCCCUUAAGGACACAUGACAUGUGUGACAUGUCAUGAUUCCCUUUUAUUCCAGAAGUGUGGUCCUUAAGGGGUUAAACAUGUCUUUCUGUUCCUCCUGCAUCAUUUUGCCGUCUGUAGCACAAUGCAUUUUUAAAACAAAUUGUGCUGCUAGUGUUUGAUUUAGUUUUUUUAGACCAAAAACAGAGGAGUGCAAACGGUAAUAAAGGACUGGAUUCAGAGACAGGAUCGAGGACCACGAUAGGGAGGGGAGUAAAGGAAAAUGAAAAUAAAUUGUAUUCUGUUCUUAGUUACAGAAUAAAAAGGUGGAGUGGUAGAUUCUCAUGUUGAUAGGUUCAGGGUCUCAGGGUGAUAAUAUAUCCUUAGGAUGAAAUAGCGGAUUCUUAUGGAGCUAAGCAUUCUCAGAGUCUCUGGGUGAAUAACCAUAGGGUAAAGGGGGCAGAUUCUCAGGGUCAGAGAGAUGAAAUGGCAGAGCCUAAUCAUAUACAGACAGAUCCAAAGAAAGGUUAGCAAGUUCUGCAAUCUUUGUGUAAAUGAGCAAUUUUAAGGUGAAUGGACAGGUCUAGCUAAGUACUAACAAGUACAAGUAGUAACUUUCCUGCAAAAUUUACACUUCAUAACAUAGGGGAGCACUGUGUAGUUCAAAUUAAAGAAUAUCCUUAUAUGGUGUCAUAGUACCGUUCAAGGUUACAUAGACUACAAAUAGAUCACCAGAUAUAUUACAGUAUAGAGUGUAAAAUUGACUAGUGAAACUUAUAAAUUAUAUGGUUAUACAUUCAUGAUCACAAAUGUCCUACAGUCAUCUUUAAAUUUGUGUAAUGGUGUUUUUUUAGGUUAAUGUAUUCUGGGCAUCUGGGGGAUUUGGUAGUGUAAUGUGGAAAGUAGCAUGUCCUAUAUAUAGAAAGACAGAGACAUAAGCAUAUGUCAGUAGUGUAAGCUAUGAACAAAUGAUUAAUUACACAAAGACUGGAAAAACUUAGAGCUGCAUGGAAUUUAGGGGCAUUAUCUAGCUGCAGUCUCAGGAAGUCAUGUGUAUCCUCUGCCUCACUGAAUGGUACACAAUCAGAUAGUAGACUACAAAACACAUUAUGUUAGACACCAUCUCACAAACAAGGAGCUAAAUCCAUGGCUCUUCAUAACGUGAGUGUGCUACCAUAAGACUUAUCAGCUUCUCUUAACAAUAUACUCAAAAUAUAGUAAGAUAUAGGAUUUAUUUUAUUGUGGCUUCUAUAUAACUUUGAAAUUUAAAAUAUAAGAACUUCUUUAAAAUGUAUUGUUUGAAAUGUACAGUGCUCCACUUUACUGCAAAAUUCCAUUAGCCUUAGUGGCUGUUCUCUAUUAAAGUCUCUACUAAUUGUUAACCACUAUAUGUUAGUGCCUUGUCUAGUCAUUUGCUGUAAUUUAAAUUUAUGAUUCAAAAUAAAUCACUUUAUAAAUA